GACGAACGCUGGCGGCGUGCUUAACACAUGCAAGUCGAACGGAAAGGCCUGCUUUCCCUUGUGGAUUGCGGGUACUCGAGUGGCGAACGGGUGAGUGACACGUGAGUGAUCUGCCCCCAACUUGGGUAUAAGCCUGGGAAACUGGGUCUAAUUCCCGAUAGGACUGCAGGGUGGUGCCUGUGGUGGAAAACGAUUUUCUAGUGGUUGGGGAUGAGCUCGCGGCCUAUCAGCUUGUUGGUGGGGUAAUGGCCUACCAAGGCGGCGACGGGUAGCCGGCCUGGGAGGGUGGACGGCCACAGUGGGACUGAGAUACGGCCCAGACGACUACGGGAGGCAGCAGUGGGGAAUAUUGCACAAUGGGCGGAAGCCUGAUGCAGCGACGCCGCGUGGGGGAUGACGGCCUUCGGGUUGUGAACUCCUUUCGACCGCGAGGAAGCCACCUGGUUGGAAGGGUGGUGACGGUAGUGGUAGAAGAAGCACCGGCUAACUACGUG
This 494-nucleotide ribosomal RNA is filed under the name uncultured bacterium. Its description in RNAcentral is "partial 16S ribosomal RNA". It matches the Rfam family "Bacterial small subunit ribosomal RNA", at positions 28 to 507 of the family's 1533-position model. The record is from RNAcentral.